Oncorhynchus keta (chum salmon) is the source of this 305-nucleotide long non-coding RNA. RefSeq lists it as uncharacterized. Lineage: Eukaryota; Metazoa; Chordata; Actinopteri; Salmoniformes; Salmonidae. The record is from RefSeq and is a predicted model, not a curated record. The transcript is spliced from 3 exons.
AUCAAGGUGAUCUGAAGUCUAAACCCAACACUGAGGGAAAGCAGGUUUCCUCUAACAGGACAUCAAGGUGAUCUGAAGUCUAAACCCAACACUGAGGGAAGAAUAGUUUCCUAUAACAGGACAUCAAGGUGAUCUGAAGUCUAAACCCAACACUGAGGGAAGGCUGGUUUCCUCUAACAGGACAUCAAGGUGAUCUGAAGUCUAAACCCAACACUGAGGGAAGAAUAGUUUCCUCUAACAGGACAUCAAGGUGAUCUGAAGUCUAAACCCAACACUGAGGGAAGAAUAGUUUCCUCUAACAGGAC